AGUCGAGGGGCAGCAUUUCAGUUUGCUUGCAAACUGGAGAUGGCGACCGGCGCACGGGUGAGUAACACGUAUCCAACCUGCCGAUAACUCGGGGAUAGCCUUUCGAAAGAAAGAUUAAUACCCGAUGGUAUAAUUAGACCGCAUGGUCUUGUUAUUAAAGAAUUUCGGUUAUCGAUGGGGAUGCGUUCCAUUAGGCAGUUGGUGAGGUAACGGCUCACCAAACCUUCGAUGGAUAGGGGUUCUGAGAGGAAGGUCCCCCACAUUGGAACUGAGACACGGUCCAAACUCCUACGGGAGGCAGCAGUGAGGAAUAUUGGUCAAUGGGCGCAGGCCUGAACCAGCCAAGUAGCGUGAAGGAUGACUGCCCUAUGGGUUGUAAACUUCUUUUAUAUGGGAAUAAAGUUUUCCACGUGUGGAAUUUUGUAUGUACCAUAUGAAUAAGGAUCGGCUAACUCCGUGCCAGCAGCCGCGGUAAUACGGAGGAUCCGAGCGUUAUCCGGAUUUAUUGGGUUUAAAGGGAGCGUAGGUGGACAGUUAAGUCAGUUGUGAAAGUU
Molecule: ribosomal RNA, 554 nt
Filed under: Bacteroides sp. HGA0074
Lineage: Bacteria; Pseudomonadati; Bacteroidota; Bacteroidia; Bacteroidales; Bacteroidaceae
Description: bacterial SSU rRNA
Rfam family: Bacterial small subunit ribosomal RNA
Source: RNAcentral